This 846-nucleotide unclassified non-coding RNA is filed under the name Hevea brasiliensis (rubber tree). The record is from RNAcentral. Lineage: Eukaryota; Viridiplantae; Streptophyta; Magnoliopsida; Malpighiales; Euphorbiaceae.
AAAAAUCAUUAUUAUAUGAGUUGUGCCUUCUUGUUAUGAUAAAUUGAGAAUCGCAUUACUUCUUAUCUUUAUUGCCAUAUAAGAGAAGUGCCUGCUGAUAACAUUUUUGAGGGAAGUGCUAAUAUCCACACUUAUACAAAAAAAUGGCAUGCCAAAUCAAAUUCUAAAGAUUGUUUAUUCAACAAUUCUAUAAGCCAGAGUAGGAAAUGGAAAGGCUGACAAGAAGAGUAGUAACAGUCCAUCAAACUAAAGAAGCAACAGGCAUCAUGGAGCGUGUGAGGAAGUUUUCAUGCUCAACGGAAUCACCUCAAGAUCAGAUGGAGAUAAUCCAGUCCUCAUCAAACUAUACUUGGAUAGGAAUGAUUUUUUAAGAAAACAGAACACUGAUAUAAAAUACGUAGUUGUAAAACUUUCAUGUUGCCUACACAAAGGCGCAUAUGUUCUCUAAUCCUGCAUAUGAAGUAGAAAAGCAGAGUUAUGGGAACAAUGCAUCGAAAAUGUAGUAGAGAACAUCCACAUUGCAGUGACUGACAUAACAGUGGUUUUUAUCUACAAUUGAAGUCGUGCAUGAACUGCAUGUGGGUUGGUUACAAAUGUGACCAAUACACAAGGUAAACAUUACAGAGACAAAAACCCACACCAAUUAAAAGCAGAAAACAGCCUGAAAGUCAAUUCACUGAAAUUUGUAGCAAAAGAAAAUUGUUGCAUAAUUAGUCUACUUACAGCUGCCGUGUACACUCUUAGAACAUGUUUGUCAUCCAUGCUGUUUCCGCUGUGUGGUGGUAGUUGUUCAAUAGUUUAAAAAAAAUUAUAUCUUGAAAAAUGAGUUGACAUAACAGAUAGAAA